AGAGUUUGAUCAUGGCUCAGAACGAACGCUGGCGGCGCGCCUAAUAUAUGCAAGUCGAGCGAGAAGGUGUAGCAAUACACUUGUAAAGCGGCGAACGGGUGGGGAAUGCAUGGGUAACCUACCCUCGAGUGGGGAAUAACUAGCCGAAAGGUUAGCUAAUACCGCAUACGUUUCCGGGACUUCGGUACCGGAAAGAAAGCAAUACCGUGGGUAUUGCGCUCAUGGAUGGGCUCAUGUCCUAUCAGCUUGUUGGUGAGGUAACGGCUCACCAAGGCUUCGACGGGUAGCUGGUCUGAGAGGACGAUCAGCCACACUGGCACUGCGACACGGGCCAGACUCCUACGGGAGGCAGCAGUAAGGAAUAUUGCGCAAUGGACGAAAGUCUGACGCAGCGACGCCGCGUGGGGGAUGAAGGUCUUCGGAUUGUAAACCCCUUUCGGGAGGGAAGAUGGAGUGGGUAACCACUGGACGGUACCUCCAGAAGCAGC
Molecule: ribosomal RNA, 488 nt
Filed under: uncultured Nitrospira sp.
Lineage: Bacteria; Pseudomonadati; Nitrospirota; Nitrospiria; Nitrospirales; Nitrospiraceae
Description: bacterial SSU rRNA
Rfam family: Bacterial small subunit ribosomal RNA
Source: RNAcentral